RNAcentral lists this transfer RNA (70 nucleotides) under Fukomys damarensis (Damara mole-rat). It matches the Rfam family "tRNA". Rfam says of the family: Transfer RNA (tRNA) molecules are approximately 80 nucleotides in length. Lineage: Eukaryota; Metazoa; Chordata; Mammalia; Rodentia; Bathyergidae. The record is from Rfam by way of RNAcentral.
GGUUGUAGCCCAGUGGUAAAGUGCUUGCCUAGCAUGCAUGAGGCCCUGGGUUCAAUCCCUAGCACUGCCA